GUCCGGCCGCCGCCGCCGCCGCCUCUACUCUGUUCUUGGGCUUGGCCCCCACAGCUAUAGCAUAGUGAACAGUUAUCAAAGGCCGCUCCGUUCUUCUGGAAGCUGCAGAGAAAGGGAACCUGGAAACCUGGUAUGCCGGCAAAAAGGGCCACAUUCUGCCCCUUGGGUGAACCUGACUGUUCCCUGAGUCGUCGCUGAAGUCAGCUUUCUGGCCAGUUCCUCAGAGGAAGAAGUGAAGCAUGGAGCCACCCAAGCUGCCCAACCCCAGCUGCUGAGGGCCUGCCUCAGGUCCCAUGGCCAAAGAACCUGCUUCUUCCAAGGCUGUCAGUUGUCCCAUUUUCGGCACCCUUGCUGAUCACACCCUCGCUGGUCACACCACCUACUUUCUGCUUCCCCAACCUUGGUUCUCAUCCCUGUAACAUAAGCAUCAUUUUUAUGCUGACCCUGAGAGAGCAAACCCCCCAUCACACUCUGGAGGGUGUGGGGGGUGAAAGUCAACACCUUCAGUCUCUGGUGGAGGCUUGUGACCUCUGACAUCCCUCAUUUGCCUCCGUUUUCCAGUGCACCCCACUGCUGCAUCCACCAAAGCAGUUUCGAGUGCCUGCUUGCGUGCCUGGUACCACAGCAGGUGCUGGGGAUAGAAUGCGGAACAAAAGAGGCCUCCACGGUCCUUUUCCUGCAAACUGUAGUUUACAAUAAAAGUAAACUAUAUUCACGUAUAACUAUAUGGUCUUGAAUUAUGAUGAGGGCAGUGAAGAAACUAAUUGAGUGCCGCGUGAGAAAUGAGGAAAGGGACCUUCUUUAGAUGGGUGGCCAAGAGGAGUCUUUCUGAUGAG
This 836-nucleotide long non-coding RNA is filed under the name Homo sapiens (human). RNAcentral's name for it is "HSALNT0353994". The record is from RNAcentral. Lineage: Eukaryota; Metazoa; Chordata; Mammalia; Primates; Hominidae.